AGUAACGUAACAUCAAAGCACAUAGGCUUAACGAUAACGGCGAAGAGAGACAGUCUGGUUGCGCUUCCAGGUAGCCCUGCGGGACGGCCUGGCCUUGUGGUGAGUGUGACCCUUGCCGCGCAGACCACGGUACUUCUUGCCAGCAGAGGUGAGACCACGGAGCUCACGGUGCUUGUGCACAGGCUUGCAGAGCCAGUUGAUCCUUGGGUCAUUGCGGAUAGCACUGUGAGCAACAUCCACAAGGAUGAUCUCAAAGUACUUGUAGGUGGAGUCCUGCAUUAAACCAAAGAAAACCAAGUCAUUAAUGGAAGGCAGAUACAUUGUUGAUAAUCAUCUUUGAAAGAUCUCAGUAAAGUGAAAUGUACCUCGUUCACCCAGUAGGAGUUGAGCACCCUGAGUCCGCCCAACUUGCGCCCAGCUCUCUCCUCAGCAACUGACCUCUUGUUCCUCUGGAACUUGAGCUGGGUGAUACCCUGGU
RNAcentral lists this long non-coding RNA (478 nucleotides) under Oryza sativa (Asian cultivated rice). RNAcentral describes it as "long non-coding RNA (OSAT_LNC000593)". The record is from RNAcentral. Lineage: Eukaryota; Viridiplantae; Streptophyta; Magnoliopsida; Poales; Poaceae.